GUGAGCUACAGCCUCUGGCCUGGUUUUCUUCUUUUAAACUACAUGGUUUUCUUUAUUUGCUUUCACUUCUCUUAUAUACUGUAUUUCGUUAUGUCUCAGAUACCAUUGGUGGUUGUGUGCUUCGUUAUUUUGUGUACCAUUAAUACAGUUAAAUGCUGUCAAAGAAAGUAUGACAUUCCAUUGAUUGAAAUACGCAUGCUGAUUUCAGAUAGACAAAUGUGAAAAAGGUACAUCCUAGAAUAAACAUGGUAGUUUGUAGUUCUGUGGGUAUUAUAAAGCUAUAGCUUUAAUAUAUUUAAAUCUAUUGUGUUUAUCAAAUAGUUUUUUCAGGAGUGGUUGAGUGCUCUUAUGUUUAAAAAUGUCUGUUAGUGGCUUUCACAAGCAAAAUGAUGUUUUGGCUGGUUACAGAAUUUUUGGGCUACAUUUCCCUUUCCCUUAAUACCCAGCAGACACUGUUCCAUUAUCUUCUGGCAUCUAGGGUUACUCUAGAAAAGUCUGGGCCAGCCUGACUGUUUUUUUCCCUUUGUAGGUGACCUACUUCUGCCUGAGUAUUGCUAGAAUUCUUUCUUUAUCCUUGAAGUUCAGUAACUUCAUCAGGAUAUAACUCGGUCUUGGUGUGAUUCUCUAUUACAUUUUCCUGUUAAAUGACAUUCUCUGUUGACUUCUUGCUAUGACAGAUGUUUUCAGUCCCACUUCUCACUACUGACCUUCCUCGUACGACGGUCACUGAACUGGCGCCUCUCUGGGGUUCUGCCCAGAAGAUUAGCCUUCCUCCUUCGCUGCAGCUCCUCUAACUCAACAAAAAUCCAGUGGAAGGCUUUUCUGCAGGUUUAAUAGAUGACAAUGAUCUCUACCGAUGGGAAGUCCUUAUUAUUGGCCCUCCAGAUACACUUUAUGAAGGUGGUGUUUUUAAGGCUCAUCUUACUUUCCCAAAAGAUUAUCCCCUCCGACCUCCUAAAAUGAAAUUCAUUACAGAAAUCUGGCACCCAAAUGUUGAUAAAAAUGGUGAUGUGUGCAUUUCUAUUCUUCAUGAGCCUGGGGAAGAUAAGUAUGGUUAUGAAAAGCCAGAAGAACGCUGGCUCCCUAUCCACACAGUGGAAACCAUCAUGAUUAGUGUCAUUUCUAUGCUGGCAGACCCUAAUGGAGACUCACCUGCUAAUGUUGAUGCUGCGAAAGAAUGGAGGGAAGAUAGAAAUGGAGAAUUUAAAAGAAAAGUUGCCCGCUGUGUAAGAAAAAGCCAAGAGACUGCUUUUGAGUGACAUUUAUUUAGCAGCUAGUAACUUCACUUAUUUCAGGGUCUCCAAUUGAGAAACAUGGCACUGUUUUUCCUGCACUCUACCCACCUAUUGCUGGACUUCUGUUGUACAAGUUGGCAAACACUGGCUGGAACUGGGCUGCAAUAAAACAUGCCAGUUAUCAAUGCUGACAAGAGCCUAACAAGUGCCAACUUACAGAUGAUUACGCAUUUGGAAUUCUAAUGAACUGUUUUAACCUUCAGGAAGAAUUGUAAAGACCUGUACAUAGCACAACAUGAUCCGGAUAAUAUAUAUACUGUUCAUGUACAUCCACAAAUACACCUUGUACCAAAUAAUGCUUUCUUGUAGUAGAAUAAGAAUCGUGUAAAUUCUAAAAGAUUUUAGCAGGUUUUCUUUCCUAUUCAUUGUUUCUUAUCAGUUUAAAAGGAUUCCUUUAAGCAUGUCAGAUGAAAAGCAAUUAGGAUUAAAAGUUUCCAUUUAAUUUCCCUUAAACCAUUGAGGCUUCAUUAAACUCUUUUCACUUACUAAACUUUUGUAUCUUCUUUGUUUUGACACACUCCCCUUUGCUUUUAUCUCUUAUCUGCCAGAAUGUUCUCAAAUGAUUUAGUUCCAAUACUGAAAUACUUAAUGAGCAAUUACUUGAUUUUUAAUGAUGACUUGGAAGGAGUCAUCACUAGGUGCUUUGUCCUUUUUAUAUUCUAGUUGCACCCACCUCUUGGAUUGGAUAUAGCAAUAACAUUUAUUGGCUGUUGUGAGCUCUUGAUCCCAGUCAUUACCCCCCGAGAACUAAAAAUAGAUGGUUCUUAAUUCAACUUAUGGAAAAUUUCCCCCAAACAAUAGCAAAUCUGACUUUUCCCCCUUCAGUUGCCCGGUAUUAAGGUUGGAUAAAUGAAGCAUGCACAGCUACAGGCUUUCUACCUAACUUCUGGGUUUGCUAUUACAGAUACUAUUUACUCUCAUACCCUUCUCCUUAGUCCUUCAUAUUUCUUUGCCUCUAUUCUUCUAUACUGCAGAUUUUUCUCACCUAUUGUACAAAGAAAUUGCGAUGUAUAUUUUCAUGUAAUUUGAUUUUGGAAUUCUGUCACCUUAUGUAGUGAGUUCUUCCAAAAUAUAAUUUUUUUUCAAUAAUUGUCAAGUUGUUGGCUUUUAUUGUAUUGAAUGAAGGCUAUAAUACUGAAUGCCAGAGAAGUGGUUUAGGAAAAUCUCAGGUUGAUUCCUUAUGCAAAUGAACUUUUAAUACUUGAAAAUCACAUGGCCAUGGCAGUAUAUGUAUUUGGUUCUAUCUAGACUCUCAUGUGAAUCUAAAAGCAUUACAGGGGUAAACACUUUGCUAUUUGACGUAUCCCAUCACUAACAAUAGUACACUUGGAUUUGAUUAAUGUUUGAGCUUAAAUAUAUUUCAUAUCAUACCGUUUUCUGAAACAACUUAAGCAAUUGGUAAAAUGAACAUGUGCAGUGUUAAAGGCAGGCCCUAGGCUCCUUUAUGUUGAUUGUGAGGUUGUGUGUGGGAAGUAGUCUUUGGCUUAUAAGGGAUAGAACUUGAAACAGUAGCAGAUGGGACAUGGUGUUUGAUUGUGAGAAUCAGUGAGAAUUCGUGCAUCUCUGCUCUGUGGGGUUUGCAGAAAUGCUUUGGCAGAAGAGUGAAGGAACUGCUGCCAAGAGCCCAGACCUCUACAAACGUUGUAUGUCCUUUUCUAAGCAGAAAUAAAAUGGUUGAGGAUGUCGUCACAGUAGAGAGUGAUUUUUUUCUAAACCCCUGUCUGUUCUCUACUCCGAAGCAUUAUAAAAACCCGUAAACAUUAUACAAACCCACAAACCUUAUAAAAACCCAUAAAUGUGUUGUGACUGGAAAUUGAUUCAUUGGAAACCAGUGUUCUUCAAGAACUUUGUGAGUUGGUUUUUUUCCAAAGACUCUGUAAAAAUAGUUGCCCCAAAAUGUCAGCACUGUACACCCUCAAGGGACUUGGAAUGCAAUCCUUUUUCCCUUUUUUUUUUUUUUUAAGAAACUGGGUCUCUCUGUCACCCAGGCUGGAGUGCAGUGGCAACGAUCAUAGCUAACUGCAGCUUUGACCUCCUGGGCUCAAGUGAUCCUCCUGCCUCAGCCUCCUGAGUAGCUAGGACUGUAGGUGUAUGCCACCAUGCCUGGCUAAUUAAAAAAAAAAUUUUUUAAGAGAUGGGAUCCCUCCCUUUUUACUCUUAAAUCAGAAAUUGUUCACAUGGUGGUUGCUUGUGGCAAAAUGGAGUUAGAAUUUUGCUCUCCUAUUGCUGUAAUUCUGCUAGCAAUCUAUUGAGGUGAAACUUGGGAUCUGACUCUUCAGCAAGCAGCAAAUGACCUAGUAACUCAGGGACAACUAUUUUUGAACUUUAAGUGCCACUUUAAUGCAGUUACUUUGAUAAAACCAUGUGUUUUUUUUUUUUUUUUUUUUUUUUUUUUAGGGCUAGCUCUAUGGGAGUGGAAGUAAGAGCCAGGAAUGAGUGCGUCUCUCUUCACGUGCUUUUCCACCUAGUGCCCUGACUCUGUUACACACUGAAACAGGCCUACAUAGAUGUUACGACUUCCCUUCCUCUGUCAGAGAUGUCAUCUGUGCCUUUCUCAGUGUUCAUCUGAUAAUGUAAAUUUAAAUGCCUCUACAUUUGAUAUGAAACCCACACUCAGGUGACACUGAACCAGGUGGCUUUUGUUCCACCAGUGCCUCACCAUCAAUGUGAGGCGAUUCUUCUCUGCUUUAGGAAAACGAUAUUUUCCCCCUGAACUUGUGCCAACCAUCAACAAUAUUUCCUUAGAUCUUAUGGAUUGUAGAACUGUUGGCUGUUUCCUAAAUUUAUUCCAAGUUCUUGUAGAGGCAUGUAGAUUUCAGUCUGUGCUCGUAUGGGAUAGACGAUCUCAGUGGCUUUCUGGCCUCUUGAGUUUAAAAUCCAUAUGAGGUUGACUUCUUGUUAUUCUAAGGUAACGUGUGUGAGGUUAUUCCACUAGUACUGUGAUCACGUGGGUGUCAGUAUCUUUAACGGCCUUCAUUCUUGGUUGGGAAAUUUGAUUUGAUGUGCUCGCUCACCCUCUACAAAUUUGCCCGCUCUGGGCUGUGGUGCCUGUGUAUCUUUGCCCCUCUGGUCUCCAGUUGGUGGAAUUACCUUUUUUUGUACUGCCACUUCUCAGCAUCUUUGAAAUUUGACAUAAUGUUGCUUCGUUUCAGUUUUUUUAGUUCUGUAAUUUGUUGAUUGUAUUUAACGAUGUGAGUUCUGUUGUGAUGUUGACUGUAUUGUAAAGCACCUCGUUCAUGUGAUGGGUGCUCUAUAAAUCAAUAAAUGACGACUUAGAGGCUGUA
Molecule: RNA transcript, 4579 nt
Organism: Cercocebus atys (sooty mangabey)
Lineage: Eukaryota; Metazoa; Chordata; Mammalia; Primates; Cercopithecidae
Gene: UBE2G1
Gene name: ubiquitin-conjugating enzyme E2G 1
Exons: 7
Source: RefSeq, a predicted model, not a curated record